RNAcentral lists this transfer RNA (111 nucleotides) under Scleropages formosus (Asian bonytongue). It matches the Rfam family "tRNA". From Rfam's summary of the family: Transfer RNA (tRNA) molecules are approximately 80 nucleotides in length. Their secondary structure includes four short double-helical elements and three loops (D, anti-codon, and T loops). Lineage: Eukaryota; Metazoa; Chordata; Actinopteri; Osteoglossiformes; Osteoglossidae. The record is from Rfam by way of RNAcentral.
GUCAGGGUGGCUGAGUGGUCUAAAGUGCCAGACUCAAGGUCCAAUUCCUUCUCUUCAUGUGGGACUUCUGGUCUCUGAAUAGAGGCAUGGGUUUGAAUUCCAUUCCUGACA